GCGCCCGUAGCUCAGCUGGAUAGAGUCGCAGGCUUCGAACCUGUUGGUCGCACGUUCGAAUCGUGCCGGGCGCGCCA
Molecule: transfer RNA, 77 nt
Filed under: Syntrophaceae bacterium
Lineage: Bacteria; Pseudomonadati; Thermodesulfobacteriota; Syntrophia; Syntrophales; Syntrophaceae
Also listed under: 1 other name
Description: tRNA-Arg
Rfam family: tRNA
About the family: Transfer RNA (tRNA) molecules are approximately 80 nucleotides in length.
Source: RNAcentral